RNAcentral lists this long non-coding RNA (2557 nucleotides) under Portunus trituberculatus (swimming crab). Its description in RNAcentral is "uncharacterized LOC123515680, transcript variant X3". The record is from RNAcentral. Lineage: Eukaryota; Metazoa; Arthropoda; Malacostraca; Decapoda; Portunidae.
AGUUCCACUCACCUAGUGUAGACAGGAUGAAAUGAAAAACUUUUCGUCUUAUCAGUUCAUCUCCUCUGACGGACUGUCUUCAGUCUCUUUCUCACUGCCGCAAUGUUGCAUCUCUUGCUAUCUCCUACCGCUAUUUUGAUGCCAACUGCUCUUCUGAGCUUCCUAACUGCAUGUCUCCCAUCCUACCGAGGCCUUGCUGCAUGAGGUUAUCUUUCUAAUACAAGAGUUAACCAGCAUUCAUUCAUACCCUUCUGGUACAGUCUGCUCUGUGGAGUAAAGACACAUACUUUGGCGUGAUGCCUGCGUGGUUGCUGACGCAAUAGACCGGUAUUGCGCCAAACAUCUCAUAUCUCAUUAAAACGCCAUAGUCAUUAACGUUUCAUACAGUAAUUGUCAUUCCAAACUGUAUUCGGGAACCCCUGUUCAAAUUUCUCCCAAGAGUAGUUUCCUGGAGGAAAUUUGGCAGACGCCGUCACGCACGCUAGUCUGCACAACUGUCACGCCUCAUACAGUAUGCAGCAAGCAGCCUGUCACAAUGGAAUACCUCACACGCUGAAUCAGUAGACUUCCACAACAAGAAUUCUCAAACUUCAAAGCAAAGGAGAAAAGGAAUAGAGGGAGAAGGAAUGAAUAACAGUGGUGGAGCAGAGGACCUACACUAAAUAUGGAGGAGGAGGAGGUUGGGUUGGAGAGAGGAAGCAAACGUCUAAUGGAGGAAACUAGGAGACUAAUUAUGAGGAAACAUCUUUUACAACUCACACUACUGGAGGAGGAGAUGGUGGUGGUGGUGGAGAAAGAGGAGGAGGAGGAGGUACUCAAGAUUCCUCCUCUUCGACUUACUCCUCUUCCUCUUCAUCAAGCACAACAUUCACUUCAUCUUCAUUGAAUUUUUGGUUUCUCUUCCUCUGGUUCUUCCUCCUCUUCCUUCUUUUAUGGGUCUUCUGGUCAUCACAGCAGGAGGACGAGGGAAGCUGACGACUCGUGGAGUGGGAAAAUACAAUCAGGAGCUGCGGGUUGACUCACUGCUUGAAGAUCCGCAGCAUGGCCGGCCCUUUCUAUGAGCCACACUACAAGAGGUGAAAGAAAAGACGUCAUCUCCCUUGUGUCUCCUGCCUAGUUCCUGGAUGAGGCCCCCCCCUCUGUGCUUUGGUGGGUCGUCUUCCUCAAAGUGCUGGCCAACUCCCUCAUCCUUCUGCUCAUCAUACUCAUACUGUGGAAGGUAAAGUGAGCUGCAGUGAAGAUGAAGUGAGCCUCAGGAAUGAACAGUGCUGAAUAUGUGUCAGUGUCUUGAGAAGUGCAUUGCUGUGAAGGGGUUAGUGUGAGACCUUGUGUGCAAGAGUAAACAAGAAAAUGUUGUAGGGUAGAUAAUUUUCUGCCUUAGGAUCAUGAGUUUUUGGGUCAGGUUCAGGAUUUUAAGGGGGCAAAAUUCAGAGGUCCAGGCCAGAUUUAGGAGGCAUUUAUGGGCAGACUUGGAGAUUUUCAGACCAGGUUCAGUUCUUGGGAAAGAUUCAGACAUUUGAGGUUCAAUUCACAUGGGUGAUUCCUGCAUCUGUCUAGACCCUAGUCUAGAGGCUGAACUAAUCACCAGUGACAUCACUCUGUUGACAGGAAAAUUUACCAGAGUUGCCGAGUGUCCUGUGUGAUGGGGGACUUCAAGUCUAGUAUUAAGAAUGACAGCACUACAUUCCCUUCAAAGAGAAAUGUUUGGCAGCUACAAUCAUUAAAUUUCCUAUUCACAGAGAGACACCACUUAAGGAAGCACUGUCUCUUAGACAAGUGUAAUUAGUAAGAACAUGAGGGAAGGUGCAAGAAGCCAACAGGCCAACACAUGGCAGUCCCCAUGUGAUGGUUGAUUUGAGGUAUGUAUAAGGAUGAGGGAGGGCUGACAUACUGACACACCACAUCUCAGACAGGCAUAGGUGAUAAAGAUGUAAGAAACUAAAGGAAACUGUAAGAAGCAGUGAGGCUUAUAUGUGACUCUGUGAUGUGUGGUGUGAGGCAGGUAUAGGGAUGAGGGAGGGCCUACUACAUCUCACAUAGGAACAGGUGAUAAAGAUGUAGCAACUAAAGGAAGCUGUAAGAAGUGAGGCCUACAUUUUUUUUAUGCAAAGGAGAAGCCGACCAGAGGCAACAAAAAUAGUAAAAAAAAAAAGGCCCACUUGAUUGCCAGUUGUUUACUGUAUUGUUUGUCUCUCCUUGGUGAUGUGGCAGUGUGUUUGUGAUGUGUGGUGUGAGGCAGGUUUGGGAGCUGAGGGAAGGCUUGGGUGUGUCUGUGUGCGAUAUGAAUGUGAUAUAUACAUACGAUUUAUAAUUGUAUUCUUAUAUGAUAUUUUGUAUGCUUUGAUGUGUUUAGUGAUUCAUGUUCUGAGAGAGGUUGGUAUUGGUUCCACAGCUGAGAAGUGUGUAUACUGUAUGCUUUGUCUAUCCUUGCUAUUAUAAAUGUUACUAGUACUACUGGACACUGUGUUCCCAAUACAUGUAACACUGUACUCUCAUUGUUUUAUUUUGGUUUUUGUACUGGUGUAGUGCUGUCUAAUGAAUUUUACUUUAAUAUGCA